CCUACGAGUGGCAGCAGUGAGGCAUAUUGGUCAAUGGACGAGAGUCUGAACCAGCCAAGUAGCGUGAAGGAUGACUGCCCUAUGGGUUGUACACUUCUUUUAUAUGGGAAUAAAAUGUUCCACGUGUGGGAUUUUGUAUGUACCAUCUGAAUAAGGAUCGGCUAACUCCGUGCCAGCAGCCGCGGUAAUACGGAGGAUCCGAGCGUUAUCCGGCUUUAUUGGGUUUAAAGGGAGCGUAGGUGGAUUGUUAAGUCAGGUGUGAAAGUUUGCGUCUCAACCGUAAAAUUGCAGUUGAAACUGGCAGUCUUGAGUACAGUAGAGGUGGGCGGAAUUCGUGGUGUAGCGGUGAAAUGCUUAGAUAUCACGAAGAACUCCGAUUGCGAAGGCAGUUCACUGGACUGCAACUGACACUGAGGCUCGAAAGUGUGGGUAUCAAACAGGAUUAGAUACCCUUGUAGUC
This 460-nucleotide ribosomal RNA is filed under the name uncultured bacterium. RNAcentral describes it as "partial 16S ribosomal RNA". It matches the Rfam family "Bacterial small subunit ribosomal RNA", at positions 338 to 795 of the family's 1533-position model. The record is from RNAcentral.